This is a non-coding RNA of Manis javanica (Malayan pangolin), 3656 nucleotides long. The record is from RefSeq and is a predicted model, not a curated record. Lineage: Eukaryota; Metazoa; Chordata; Mammalia; Pholidota; Manidae.
AGAAGGGCGUACUUAUUUUUGGGGAGAUGCCUAAAGCCAAACGGCGGCUGACCAAUGGUCCGAAGCCUGGAGGCGUGGCUCCUCUCUUGCCCCGCCCCUCCUACAAAGCGAUUCGUUGCAGAAGGGACCCCGAAACCGGUGCAUCUUGGGAGCGGCCCAGACCUGUACGCGGCGUCUUGUGGGGGCAUUGUCAGGUCUGAGGGGGCGGCGCUGAAAUUCAGCGCAGUGCGUCUCCGGAGACCUGCUCGAGUCUUGUGGGAGGUGACAGAACUCGUCCUCCCAUGUCUGGCUGCGAGCUGCCCAUGGGCACGUGCCCGGACAUGUGCCCGGCCGCCGAGCGCUCCCAGAGGGAAAAGGAGCACCGCCUGCACCGCUUCGAGGUGGCACCGGGGUGCCACGGGGACCGUCCCCGCGCCGACCCGCAGCGAUCGGUGAAGGAGUACAGCCGGCCGGCCGCCGGCAAGGCCCGGCCACCACCAAGCCAGCUGCGUCCGCCGUCCGUGCUGCUGGCCACCGUGCGCUACCUGGCCAGCGAGGUGGCGGAGCGCGCCGAUGCCUCCCGCGCCGAGGUGGCCAACUUCGUGGCGGACCGGGUGCGCUCUGUGCGACUAGAUCUGGCCCUACAAGGUGUGGGCGACGCCGAGGCGGCAGUGGUGCUGGAGGCGGCCCUGGCCGUGCUGCUGGCAGUGGUGGCACGGCUCGGGCCCGACUCAGCGAGUGGGCCAGCGGACCCAGUGCUGCUGCAGGUUCAGGUGCAGGAAGGCUUCGGUUCGCUGCGGCGCUGCUACGCCCAGGGCGCCGGGCCGCACCCCCACCAGGCAGCCUUCCAGGGUCUCUUUCUGCUCUAUAACCUAGGCUCGGUGGAGGCCCUUCGUGAGGUUCUGCAACUGCCCACUGCCCUGCGUUCCUGCCCGGCCCUGCGCAUGGCCUUGGCUGUGGAUUCGGCCUUCCGCGAAGGCAAUGCUGCCCGCCUGUUCCGCCUGCUCCGGAUCCUGCCCUACUUGCAGAGCUGCGCUGUGCAGUGCCACGUGGGCCGUGCCCGCCGUGGAGCCCUGGCCCGUCUCGCUCGUGCCCUGAGCACCCCCAAGGGCCAGACUGUGCCCCUGGGCUUCAUGGUCCACCUGUUGGCCUUGGAUGGACCCGAGGAGGCACAGGACCUGUGUCAGGCCCACGGACUGGACGUGGAUGGACAGGGGAGAGUUGUGUUCCUGAGGGGUCGCUACACUGAGGAGGGACUGCCACCUGCCGGGACCUGUGAAGCGUUGGUGGGGAGCAAACUUGGAGGGCGCACCCUGGAGGAGGUGGUGAUGGCAGAAGAGGAAGAUGUGGCUGUGACCAGGCCCAAGGCCCCAGCAUGAGUUUUCCAGAGCCCAGAACUGGCCCAGCCGCCCCGCAUACCAAACACCGAGAUGUCCACGUUGAUGUAGGCCACGGUGCGCUCCCGCAGCUUGCAGAAGAACUCCUGCGCGUGGGAGGGGUGCCGUCAGCCCGGCGGUGCCCCGCCCCAGAAGUCCCCUCCGCCGCCGACCCGGCGAGGCCCACUCACCUCCGUGAACUCCGUGGAGCCAAUGAGCCCAAACUCCUCUGCCCCCCAGCUCGCAAACACGACUGAUCUGCGGGGACGCCAGGUGUGCUUUGAGAAGACCUCCUGACUCUCCACCUCCGAUCUCUCUUCCGCACGUUCCGUGCAAGCCUUGGCAUAACUUUCUUCACUUGGUGAUAUAAUACAACCAUGUUCUCCUUAGGGCAUUAUCCAUAUGUAGCCAAUUCUUACAAUAAUGCUUUUAGGGAGAGACUGUGGUCUCCAUUUCAUAGUCGAGAACACUGAACCACCGAGAAGUUAAAUGACUAUGCCCAGGGUUACACAGCUGAUGGGCAUCAGAGCAAGGGUUCAGGUCCAGGGUCUGGCUCCAUAGCCCAGGAGCUUGAGCAGUGCCCCACACUGCCUCCUAGCAUCCUGCAGCCUGCCUUCCAUCUCCGUUCUCUAUGCCCACACUGCUCUCGCCACAGUCCCCAGCUACUUCCCAGAAGCCUCCGCGGUUCUGGCUUGUCCCCUCACCUUUUCCAGAUUCCCCUUCACCCGAUUCAUGCUCCUGGGUGUGUUCCCAAUCUCGCUGCCACUCAGUCCCUUUGAUCAUUCCUCAUCUCUUUGUUGUAAAUGAAAUCUUUUUAAGUAUAAAAUGAUCACAUGCUUGCAAUGACAAAUUCCCAAACUUUUUCCUGCUGAAAAUUCAUCACCCCAACCUAAUCAGACAAACCCAAACCGAGGAACAUUCAAAAUAAUACCAGGAUCACGAAAGGCAAAGAACAUCUAAGGAACUGUUCCAGAUUACACACGCAACUGCCACCUGGAGUGUGUGGUACUGGAUCAGUUCUUGGACCAGGAAAUUCCUUUGCUCUUAAGGUUAUUGUAGGAACAAUCGGCAAAAUUGUUAAUUUCCUGAUUUCCUGAUUCUGAUCAUCAUACUCUGGUUGUGCAAGAAAAUGUCCUUUUUUUUAAGGAAAUAUACAGUAAUGUGUUUAUGUGCAAAGGUGCAGCAUUUCUGCAUUGUUAAGCACUUCAGAAAAAAAUAUAAAGACAGGUCGAGCAAACAUGGUAAAACAAACAUUAAUAUUAGGAGUAUCUGAGUAAAGGGUAUAUGAGGCUUUUUGGUAUUAUUUUUGCAACUCUUGUUAAGUCUGAAAUUACAUCAGAAAUCAAACCCUUGAGCAGCAAAACAGAGAAGUUCCUGCCCUAUAACAACUCAGCCUUUCUACACGAGUUUGCCCGCCUCCUGCUCCCUCUCACUGGAUCUCAAGCACACCUAUGGUUCCAUAUACCAUUUAUGCCGCCAACUCCCCGGUUUAUCUCUGCAGUCUCUUUUCUGACCUGGACAUCAGCACUUUCAACUGCCUGCUUGCCCACUCCCCGGGGCUGCUCAGACCAGAAAUCAGAAACCCGGGAGCCCUCCACCCAUGCUCUCCUUCACCUGUCACCAACAGACCCCAAGGUCUUCACACUGUCUGCUUCCCGCUGCCCCCACCCUGGUCCAAGCCCCACCAUCCCUCCUGGCCCUGAGGAUGAAAGACUGGUCCCUCAGCCUUACCUUUCCCCCCUGUAGCACAAGAAGCUGUUUAAAAUGUGGACCCAAUUAUGUCGCCCUUUUGAUUAAAACCCUUCACCAUCUUUCCCACCCUUAAACUGAAUUCCUCUGUUCCCAGCUGGGCUGUCAGGCCACGUGGCUUGGUUCUGGAGCUCUGUCACCUGGUCCAGCCCCUCCUUCCCGCCUGCUGUGCCCUCCACCAGCCGCCUCUAUGGGGAGGCUUCCCUGAGUCCUGGCUUGCAGCUGGAAAGCCCCUUAGAUAUUUUUUAUAGGAUAUAUUCACAGUUGUCAUCACAUGCAGAAACUCCUAAGUGUUCACUGUGGCAUCUCCAGUGCCUAGAACUCACCUGGCACACAGCAGGCAGGCGGGACACAUUUGCCUCAGCUGGGCUGAAGCUCCUGAGAGCAGAGCCCAGGCACUGCCCUGCCCACGGCACCCAGCCUCCUUCCACUGGAGGGCCACAGGAGGCUCUCAGGAGCUGCUGGGCUCCUCCAGCAGAGCCAGGGCUGGUGUCCUGCCAUGCCUGCCCCCAGGGUCCUGAGGCUCAGCACAAGGGGACAGGAGAGAAGAGA